AAACCCGUGGUUCAUUGGGUAGAACAUUCGACUUCUAAUCAAAAGGUCACGGGUUCG
This 57-nucleotide transfer RNA is filed under the name Schistocephalus solidus. It matches the Rfam family "tRNA", at positions 1 to 55 of the family's 71-position model. From Rfam's summary of the family: Transfer RNA (tRNA) molecules are approximately 80 nucleotides in length. Lineage: Eukaryota; Metazoa; Platyhelminthes; Cestoda; Diphyllobothriidea; Diphyllobothriidae. The record is from Rfam by way of RNAcentral.